This 2894-nucleotide ribosomal RNA is filed under the name Escherichia coli. RNAcentral's name for it is "partial 23S ribosomal RNA". It matches the Rfam family "Bacterial large subunit ribosomal RNA". Lineage: Bacteria; Pseudomonadati; Pseudomonadota; Gammaproteobacteria; Enterobacterales; Enterobacteriaceae. The record is from RNAcentral.
GGUUAAGCGACUAAGCGUACACGGUGGAUGCCCUGGCAGUCAGAGGCGAUGAAGGACGUGCUAAUCUGCGAUAAGCGUCGGUAAGGUGAUAUGAACCGUUAUAACCGGCGAUUUCCGAAUGGGGAAACCCAGUGUGAUUCGUCACACUAUCAUUAACUGAAUCCAUAGGUUAAUGAGGCGAACCGGGGGAACUGAAACAUCUAAGUACCCCGAGGAAAAGAAAUCAACCGAGAUUCCCCCAGUAGCGGCGAGCGAACGGGGAGCAGCCCAGAGCCUGAAUCAGUGUGUGUGUUAGUGGAAGCGUCUGGAAAGGCGCGCGAUACAGGGUGACAGCCCCGUACACAAAAAUGCACAUGCUGUGAGCUCGAUGAGUAGGGCGGGACACGUGGUAUCCUGUCUGAAUAUGGGGGGACCAUCCUCCAAGGCUAAAUACUCCUGACUGACCGAUAGUGAACCAGUACCGUGAGGGAAAGGCGAAAAGAACCCCGGCGAGGGGAGUGAAAAAGAACCUGAAACCGUGUACGUACAAGCAGUGGGAGCACGCUUAGGCGUGUGACUGCGUACCUUUUGUAUAAUGGGUCAGCGACUUAUAUUCUGUAGCAAGGUUAACCGAAUAGGGGAGCCGAAGGGAAACCGAGUCUUAACUGGGCGUUAAGUUGCAGGGUAUAGACCCGAAACCCGGUGAUCUAGCCAUGGGCAGGUUGAAGGUUGGGUAACACUAACUGGAGGACCGAACCGACUAAUGUUGAAAAAUUAGCGGAUGACUUGUGGCUGGGGGUGAAAGGCCAAUCAAACCGGGAGAUAGCUGGUUCUCCCCGAAAGCUAUUUAGGUAGCGCCUCGUGAAUUCAUCUCCGGGGGUAGAGCACUGUUUCGGCAAGGGGGUCAUCCCGACUUACCAACCCGAUGCAAACUGCGAAUACCGGAGAAUGUUAUCACGGGAGACACACGGCGGGUGCUAACGUCCGUCGUGAAGAGGGAAACAACCCAGACCGCCAGCUAAGGUCCCAAAGUCAUGGUUAAGUGGGAAACGAUGUGGGAAGGCCCAGACAGCCAGGAUGUUGGCUUAGAAGCAGCCAUCAUUUAAAGAAAGCGUAAUAGCUCACUGGUCGAGUCGGCCUGCGCGGAAGAUGUAACGGGGCUAAACCAUGCACCGAAGCUGCGGCAGCGACACUGUGUGUUGUUGGGUAGGGGAGCGUUCUGUAAGCCUGCGAAGGUGUGCUGUGAGGCAUGCUGGAGGUAUCAGAAGUGCGAAUGCUGACAUAAGUAACGAUAAAGCGGGUGAAAAGCCCGCUCGCCGGAAGACCAAGGGUUCCUGUCCAACGUUAAUCGGGGCAGGGUGAGUCGACCCCUAAGGCGAGGCCGAAAGGCGUAGUCGAUGGGAAACAGGUUAAUAUUCCUGUACUUGGUGUUACUGCGAAGGGGGGACGGAGAAGGCUAUGUUGGCCGGGCGACGGUUGUCCCGGUUUAAGCGUGUAGGCUGGUUUUCCAGGCAAAUCCGGAAAAUCAAGGCUGAGGCGUGAUGACGAGGCACUACGGUGCUGAAGCAACAAAUGCCCUGCUUCCAGGAAAAGCCUCUAAGCAUCAGGUAACAUCAAAUCGUACCCCAAACCGACACAGGUGGUCAGGUAGAGAAUACCAAGGCGCUUGAGAGAACUCGGGUGAAGGAACUAGGCAAAAUGGUGCCGUAACUUCGGGAGAAGGCACGCUGAUAUGUAGGUGAAGUCCCUCGCGGAUGGAGCUGAAAUCAGUCGAAGAUACCAGCUGGCUGCAACUGUUUAUUAAAAACACAGCACUGUGCAAACACGAAAGUGGACGUAUACGGUGUGACGCCUGCCCGGUGCCGGAAGGUUAAUUGAUGGGGUCAGCGCAAGCGAAGCUCUUGAUCGAAGCCCCGGUAAACGGCGGCCGUAACUAUAACGGUCCUAAGGUAGCGAAAUUCCUUGUCGGGUAAGUUCCGACCUGCACGAAUGGCGUAAUGAUGGCCAGGCUGUCUCCACCCGAGACUCAGUGAAAUUGAACUCGCUGUGAAGAUGCAGUGUACCCGCGGCAAGACGGAAAGACCCCGUGAACCUUUACUAUAGCUUGACACUGAACAUUGAGCCUUGAUGUGUAGGAUAGGUGGGAGGCUUUGAAGUGUGGACGCCAGUCUGCAUGGAGCCGACCUUGAAAUACCACCCUUUAAUGUUUGAUGUUCUAACGUUGACCCGUGAUCCGGGUUGCGGACAGUGUCUGGUGGGUAGUUUGACUGGGGCGGUCUCCUCCUAAAGAGUAACGGAGGAGCACGAAGGUUGGCUAAUCCUGGUCGGACAUCAGGAGGUUAGUGCAAUGGCAUAAGCCAGCUUGACUGCGAGCGUGACGGCGCGAGCAGGUGCGAAAGCAGGUCAUAGUGAUCCGGUGGUUCUGAAUGGAAGGGCCAUCGCUCAACGGAUAAAAGGUACUCCGGGGAUAACAGGCUGAUACCGCCCAAGAGUUCAUAUCGACGGCGGUGUUUGGCACCUCGAUGUCGGCUCAUCACAUCCUGGGGCUGAAGUAGGUCCCAAGGGUAUGGCUGUUCGCCAUUUAAAGUGGUACGCGAGCUGGGUUUAGAACGUCGUGAGACAGUUCGGUCCCUAUCUGCCGUGGGCGCUGGAGAACUGAGGGGGGCUGCUCCUAGUACGAGAGGACCGGAGUGGACGCAUCACUGGUGUUCGGGUUGUCAUGCCAAUGGCACUGCCCGGUAGCUAAAUGCGGAAGAGAUAAGUGCUGAAAGCAUCUAAGCACGAAACUUGCCCCGAGAUGAGUUCUCCCUGACUCCUUGAGAGUCCUGAAGGAACGUUGAAGACGACGACGUUGAUAGGCCGGGUGUGUAAGCGCAGCGAUGCGUUGAGCUAACCGGUACUAAUGAACCGUGAGG